AGCGAACGCUGGCGGCAGGCUUAACACAUGCAAGUCGAGCGGGCACUUCGGUGUCAGCGGCAGACGGGUGAGUAACACGUGGGAACGUGCCCUUCGGUUCGGAAUAACUCAGGGAAACUUGAGCUAAUACCGGAUACGCCCUUUGGGGAAGGGUUAACUUGCGAACGGAUCGGCCCGCCGUCUGAUUAGCUAGUUGGUGGGGUAAGUGGCCUACCAAGGACGACGAUCAGUAGCUGGUCUGAGAGGAUGAUCA
This 253-nucleotide ribosomal RNA is filed under the name uncultured bacterium. RNAcentral describes it as "partial 16S ribosomal RNA". It matches the Rfam family "Bacterial small subunit ribosomal RNA", at positions 29 to 306 of the family's 1533-position model. The record is from RNAcentral.